GAUGAAGAACGCAGCGAAAUGCGAUAAGUAAUGUGAAUUGCAGAAUUCAGUGAAUCAUCGAAUCUUUGAACGCACAUUGCGCCCGCCAGUAUUCUGGCGGGCAUGCCUGUUCGAGCGUCAUUUCAACCAUCAAGCCCCCGGGCUUGUGUUGGGGACCUGCGGCUGCCGCAGGCCCUGAAAAGCAGUGGCGGGCUCGCUGUCACACCGAGCGUAGUAGAUUUUAUCUCGCUCAGGGCGUGCUGCGGGUUCCGGUCGUUAAACCACCUUCAUAACCCAAGGUUGACCUCGGAUCAGGUAGGAAGACCCGCUGAACUUAAGCAUAUCAAUAAGCGGAGGA
Molecule: unclassified non-coding RNA, 337 nt
Filed under: soil metagenome
Description: partial contains 5.8S ribosomal RNA, internal transcribed spacer 2, and large subunit ribosomal RNA
Rfam family: 5.8S ribosomal RNA (bases 1-120)
Source: RNAcentral